GACGGACUACUUCCGUAGUGGGAGGGACAAAAGUGCUUCCAUGUGAACUUGUGUUAGUGAGCGCUUUAAUUCUCUUUUUAGCGUCAUCAUCAUUUUCAGUGUCAACAGUAUGACAUCAGCUGGAAACACCAUUGACGACGAGGACACAUUCAAGAUCCUCAUUGCUACUGACAUUCAUCUAGGCUAUCUGGAGAAGGAUGCCAUAAGAGGAAACGACACGUUCGUGACCUUUGACGAGAUCAUGAAACAAGCUGUGCAAAAUGA
Molecule: long non-coding RNA, 264 nt
Organism: Labeo rohita (rohu)
Lineage: Eukaryota; Metazoa; Chordata; Actinopteri; Cypriniformes; Cyprinidae
Exons: 3
Source: RefSeq, a predicted model, not a curated record